AAAAAAAACAUUAUUUGUGCCAUUUUGCUAAAUUAAUUAAAAGUUGAACUGUGAAAUUGGUCUCCAAACAGGCAAUCUUAAAUUGCACUUUACAAAAUAAAAACGAUGUACUUUGUGUUUGUACAGUUGUGCGUGAAAACAUGUAUUGGUUGUUCAGAUAGUUAAAUAAGGUUGAAAAUAAUAAUGCUAAAGGCAUUGCUUUCCAAUACAAUUAGGACUCAUAGUAAAAAGAAUCAAGUACUUAGUAAAGAUGUUUUAUCAAAUACAAAAUGUUUCAUAAAAAUCAAG
This is a non-coding RNA of Pelobates cultripes (western spadefoot toad), 288 nucleotides long. The record is from the annotation of a GenBank genome assembly. NCBI's taxonomy places the organism in Eukaryota, Metazoa, Chordata, Amphibia, Anura, Pelobatidae.